GAAGUGGGGUGGGCUUAUUAUAUAAAUGUCUGAACUAGCCCCACCCCUGUCUCUCAUCAUCUCUCCCAAAUCACCCCUUUAGAGACCCCAUCAAAACCCUAGCUGCCCCUAAAUCCCACCACCACCCAUCGGCUGCGCCAACGCCAAUCCCAACUAAAUUAACACCAUGUGAUCCCCUCACUCUCCUCUUUGUAAAUCCUACUCCAUUUCCCUCGAACAUGUCCUAAAAUCAUUGAAUCUAAGUUGAAAGUGAGACCUAAAAAUAUCAAAACUCCAGAAUCGGUGGAUUCGUUGACGAUUGAGAUCAAAAUGGACCUUGACCAUGUGUUUUCAUCUUAAAUCACAUGGUUGAUACCCCUUUUAGUCAAAAUCGAGAGGAUAAAUAAGAAAUCUUAGCCAGCUGAUUAGGUAUUUUUGUUUCAUUUCUGGUUUUACCUCCUUUAUUGCAUUGUUUUUGGUCAUCCUUCUCCGUCUCCUUUUAUAUGUUUGUGUCGUCUUUGCAUGGGUCUUUUUUAUCUGGGCUUCGCCAUUACUUAAAAUUUUACUUUAAGUCUAUUUUGGUUUAGUCUAUCUAGUAUAUCUAAUUCUAUUCAUAUCUUGGGCCAAAGAAGGCAGUUGGUUCAGAAAUUUGUUUGAGCCCAAAUGGUUGGCUCGUUCUAUUACUUAUUUUUCUGUUUGAGUUGAAAUUGAAUCAGAAAGGGAAUUAGCUCAGAUGGAAAGUUAAUUGGGGUCUGUAGACCCAUUAGCUUGGUCAGUUGACCCGGGUUGGUUUUUAGGGUAAUGAACAGGGUUGAGGGGGUAAUUUUUGUAAUUUGGGAUAGGGAAUCUUGUUGUUACAGCUUAAGGAAGCUUCGAGGAAGCUAGAGUUGGGGAUUAAAUGAAAAUAUGAUUCUAACUUAAGGAUCCUUAAGCAAAAAAGAGAAUUGAAUAAGGGUCCAAGUGCAAAUUUGCUUAAUCAUUAGGUUGCCCUAUUUUCUUGCCUAUAAAUACAUCUCUUCCUUGUAUUUCAAGGCAUAGAUUGAAGAGUUAAAAAAUUCUGAAAAGAAGUCGGCUAAGAAUUCCACUAAAAUUUACUGUUUCAUUGAUCUUUUUGGUGAUUUCUUAGAUUUCAAAUUCUUGAAAUGAUUUUUGAUUUAUCUAGGUGUUGAAAUGGUGUGAUUUCGGGUGGAUUAAGAGUUUGAUUUGAAGUUUUGGUUGAUUUUUGUUGAUUAUUGCACAUCAUCUUCUGGGAUUGAGAUGGUUUUGGUGGGACUGAUUUUUGCUACUGAUACAUUGCUGCUCAACCACUGAUUCCUCAUUUCUUUGUUGCCUUUCGAUCUCCGAGUAAACCUAUAAACUAUGGAGAGCAAGUGAUUGUCGAGUCUCAUGUUCAAAUGGAAUUUAGAAUGAAUAUGAAGUUGAUUUGAACAUUUCUGUUUCUAUUUUUCUCAUUUAUAUUUGUAAUAAAUAUGGAGUUCAGAUUUCUAGAUGAAUUAGUAUCAAUUGAAAGUGUGAGUGCUAGAUUAUGGGUUUUAGCAUUAUGAAAGGUGAAGGUUUUAGAUUGGUUAACUUGUUGGUUAAAACUAACUAAAGCUUUGUUUUAUGUGGAUUUCUAAGAAAUGAGUUGAUUGUGUAUAGGCGUCUAUGACAAAAGCCUGAAGCCAAGCCAAGUUUUGCUUUUUCCUGUUUACCUAGUCUCUUGAAUCAUGCUUUAGAGUAUUAUGUUGACAUCCUAUCAAAUGGAAGCUAAGUUUAUUUGUAUGUUAAGGGUUUGACAUUAGCUCUAAUCGUAUGAUUUGGUUAAGUAGGAGUACUGACUGUGCUUAUGCAUGAAAAUCAUCUCAUGAGGAGGCUAGCAGUAACAUCUGAUAGUGUACCCUUCUUCUUUCUUUACACUUGAAGAUUAAUUGGUAAUAUUAAGUUAUUCGUUCAAGUAUAAAAGGUCAUAAGACACUUCAGAAUUAUGUAUCAUGAUGAAUCAUUUAAUGUGGGCAUGUAACUUGAACAAUAUGUGCUAGUUUUAAUAGUGGUUCUCGGAUGGCUAUUUUAAAUUUAGACUAGACGUGUUAGAUGUUUGGAUUGUUGUAUUUGCAUGAAAGGUAUUGAUAAAUGUUUCAAAUAAACAAAUAGUUUAAUCCACCUAAAGCCAUGUAGCAUGGAUUGUAGAAUUGAAUGCAAAAGAUUGACUCCUUGUGUUGAUGUGUUGGCUCGAAACAAAGACUCCAUCACUUGUUGAAGCCGAUCUAGCUUCAACUUGGGUUCCCUCAUGGGUCCCAGCUUGGACUCAUGAUGAACUCUAAUUAAAAAAGGGCAUCACCUCUACAGGUUAUUGGGCCUCACGUUGGGCCCAAAUUUCAACUUCAAACUAUUAAAUUUUCCUUUAAAAUAUAUUUUGUUAGUUUUAACCAUGGUAGAGUCCUUGCCCAUUAAUGUUUUGAUAAUUGAGUUUCUUUAAUUAGUGGGGUGAACUAUACUAGAUAACAUAAAUAAUUCAUGGCCCUCCAAAUAUAACUUGAAUUCAUUUUCUUUAGAUUAGAAUCAAGGUGCGCCGUGCCAAACAAGAAUGACAAUUGCAUGACCCUCUUUAAUUAAUUUUUGAUUUAAUACUUAGAAUUCGACGCGUUCCACCUAGUGGAAUUUUCAUGGUCC
Molecule: long non-coding RNA, 2628 nt
Filed under: Nicotiana benthamiana
Lineage: Eukaryota; Viridiplantae; Streptophyta; Magnoliopsida; Solanales; Solanaceae
Description: long non-coding RNA (NBEN_LNC034904)
Source: RNAcentral